GGAGGUGUAGCUCUGUGGUAGAGCACGUGCUUAGCACGCAUGAGGUCCUGGGUUCAUUCCCCAGUCCCUCCA
RNAcentral lists this transfer RNA (72 nucleotides) under Camelus bactrianus (Bactrian camel). It matches the Rfam family "tRNA". From Rfam's summary of the family: Transfer RNA (tRNA) molecules are approximately 80 nucleotides in length. Their secondary structure includes four short double-helical elements and three loops (D, anti-codon, and T loops). Further hydrogen bonds mediate the characteristic L-shaped molecular structure. tRNAs have two regions of fundamental functional importance: the anti-codon, which is responsible for specific mRNA codon recognition, and the 3' end, to which the tRNAs corresponding amino acid is attached (by aminoacyl-tRNA synthetases). tRNAs cope with the degeneracy of the genetic code in two manners: having more than one tRNA (with a specific anti-codon) for a particular amino acid; and 'wobble' base-pairing, i.e. permitting non-standard base-pairing at the 3rd anti-codon position. RNAcentral also lists the same sequence under 1 other name. Lineage: Eukaryota; Metazoa; Chordata; Mammalia; Artiodactyla; Camelidae. The record is from Rfam by way of RNAcentral.